This 958-nucleotide ribosomal RNA is filed under the name Bacillus aerius. RNAcentral's name for it is "bacterial SSU rRNA". It matches the Rfam family "Bacterial small subunit ribosomal RNA", at positions 445 to 1421 of the family's 1533-position model. The record is from RNAcentral. Lineage: Bacteria; Bacillati; Bacillota; Bacilli; Caryophanales; Bacillaceae.
AAGAACAAGUGCAAGAGUAACUGCUUGCACCUUGACGGUACCUAACCAGAAAGCCACGGCUAACUACGUGCCAGCAGCCGCGGUAAUACGUAGGUGGCAAGCGUUGUCCGGAAUUAUUGGGCGUAAAGGGCUCCAGGCGGUUUCUUAAGUCUGAUGUGAAAGCCCCCGGCUCAACCGGGGGGUCAUUGGAAACUGGGAAACUUGAGUGAGAAGAGGAGAUGGAAUUCCACGUGUAGCGGUGAAAUGCGUAGAGAUGUGGAGGAACACCAGUGGCGAAGGCACUCUCUGGUCUUAACUGACGCUGAGGAGCGAAAGCGUGGGGAGCGAACAGGAUUAGAUACCCUGGUAGUCCACCGUAAACGAUGAGUGCUAAGUGUUAGGGGGUUCGCCCCUUAGUGCUGCAGCUACGCAUUAAGCACUCCGCCUGGGGAGUACGGUCGCAAGACUGAAACUCAAAGGAAUUGACGGGGGCCCGCACAAGCGGUGGAGCAUGUGGUUUAAUUCGAAGCAACGCGAAGAACCUUACAGGUCUUGACAUCCUCUGACACCCUAGAGAUAGGGCUUUCCCUUCGGGGACAGAGUGACAGUGGUGCAUGGUUGUCGUCAUCGUGUCGUGAGAUGUUGGGUUAAGCCCCAACGAGCGCAACCCUUGAUCUAGUUGCCAGCAUUCAGUUGGGCACUCUAAGGUGACUGCCGGUGACAAACCGGAGGAAGGUGGGGAUGACGUCAAAUCAUCAUCCCCUUAUGACCUGGGCUACACACGUGCUACAAUGGACAGAACAAAGGGCUGCGAGCCGCAAGGUUUAGCCAUCCCACAAAUCUGUUCUCAGUUCGGAUCGCAGUCUGCAACUCGACUGCGUGAAGCUGGAAUCGCUAGUAAUCGCGGAUCAGCAUGCCGCGGUGAAUACGUUCCCGGCCUGUACACACCGCCCGUCACACCACGAGAGUUUGCAACACC